This 91-nucleotide transfer RNA is filed under the name Kocuria flava. Its description in RNAcentral is "tRNA-Ala". Lineage: Bacteria; Bacillati; Actinomycetota; Actinomycetes; Micrococcales; Micrococcaceae. The record is from RNAcentral.
CGCCCGCCGGGCCGAGGGGUUCCGCCCCUCGCCGGUGCGCGCGGUGUUCGAGAUCGCGAUGCGCCCGGGGAUGAUCUCCCUGGCCGGCGGC